This is a long non-coding RNA of Lagopus muta (rock ptarmigan), 2583 nucleotides long. RefSeq lists it as uncharacterized. Lineage: Eukaryota; Metazoa; Chordata; Aves; Galliformes; Phasianidae. The record is from RefSeq and is a predicted model, not a curated record. The transcript has 3 exons.
UGGAGAUCCCUCCUUUGGAGUUUUACAGUGAGCCUAGGACACAGUGUCUUUCUCCAGAGACAGAGGCAAUCUGUGGAAGCAAAUUACCUCUCAAAAUGAAGAGAAUUGUACUGCUAUCCAUGGUGGAGCCGCAAGACUGAGACGGCACUUCUGGUUUACAUUUGUCCUUAACUUCUAUAUCAGAGAUCUGCAGUGAUGCAUGGGUUUUGUCUGGGUGUUCAAUUCCUCCCUCAUCAAGCCACAAAGGACCUGGCCAUUUCACUCUCUGCUACCCAGCCUUCUGGAGGAAGAUGGAUCCACUCUGUUAUUGACAGCUAAGACAUUACACCCAGCCCCUGCGUUGCAGUCUGGUGCCUGGUGUGCUCACAGGGCACUCCUUUCUUUCCGUAAUAAAGCCAUUAGAGCUUCACUGCAGGCUUUCUCUGCUCUUCACCCAAAUCGGGGUCGACGUGGCUGUUGUGUUUACCACACUGCUGGGCAGGUGUGAGAUUUGGAUACGGUACAGAAAAUGCAUCCACCAGCUGGAGGAAAAAGCACCAGAGGAAUUUCUAGCUUUGCUGUGAGUGAAAUAGCAAGAGCGGCUGCCCAGCAACUGCAUUUUGUAGCUUGCUGAGUUCAUCUCCGUUGGGGAAUGAUUAAUGAGGGUCCAGCUGUGAUGGGACAAGAACAUGGCUCAGGUGGACAGAAAAACACCCCAGAAAUUUCAAAAACUCUUUGAAAAAAGUGCAUGUCAGACAGGUCUUUUGAAUUACCACUUGCAGAAAAGCCACAAUACAGCAACUGCUUUGGGGACAGCUUGUGAGGAAACAACAGUCCUGGGAAAGAAAGCUCACCUCAGGUGAUAUCUGCAUGGGAUCCAUCUCCACAGCACCACUGCCAAAUCCAUCUCCUGUGAUCAGUAGUGCACUUCAGUAUUAUUUUAUUCAAAACUCAGUCCUAUUAAGAAAGAAACAGGCUUUUGGGCAAACGAUUGCUGCACAACACGUGCCCCUGGUGAGUGAACCAUGGGUCAUGGCUAUAUGAGCAAUCCCAGAGGUUUAUUACCCACCAUAUGGGAUGUCCCUGCCUGGGGUUUGCCAAUGAACAGCACUGAAUGAAUCGGUUGUGUUUCCCAGUUACAAACUCAUAACCAGAUGGGAUAUUAUGUUAUCUGUUCCUAUCUCCCCCUGAUCACAGAGCAUUUGCCCUCCAGCCUUUGUUUUAUGGCUAAAGAAGAACAGAUACUCCAGCAAGAUGUUAAAUCUUCACCUAAACUCUGUAUCUGCAUCGAAUCCUGCGUGAUUAAAUGCUGUCAGAUGAACUUUGUACUUCACUAGGGGAGAGGGGAGAUGUCCUCUUUAUCCUGAAAAGGUCUUAGGGCCUCAAAAAAGGAUGGUACCCACUGCACACAGAACAUCUGCACUCUGGCCACACAGCAGUUUCUAAAUGUUCUCAUCAAAUGAGAGCAUAAAAGAAAGGCAAGACCAAGUGUCUGUGGUGUUGAGGACUUAAAUGUGAGUUUUCACUGGAAAGUGCAACCACUAUGGGUGGUUUGCUCCCCUGAGAAAUGCCUCAGCCUCUGGGCUGGAGCAUGGAAAUAAUGGCUGGUAAGCAGUGAGAUGGGCUGGUAAUGUGCAGUCUGUUGAUAGUGAUGAAUUUUAGCCUUCAGGAAUUAGGUGAAGCCUCUCGUAGUCAGCAGUGGUCCUCUGAGAUUUGGAGGAGGGUGGGUGGAGUACUGGUAGAGAGGUGAAUGUUGAAGUUAGUGCAUUUAAGUGUGAAAUAAAUAUUAGAUCCAGGGCAGCAGAGGUCAGAGAUCUUAAAUCAAGAAAGCAUCUGUAGCUAAUACUGCUUUUCUGAAUGAAGCAGGUGAAUCCAUUUACCACUCAUUGGAAGGUAGAAGCAGUCAAGGCUUGGAAAGAAGUGAGCUGUGUCAUAUUUUUGACUUGCACAAGAAUUUUGCCAUCACCAAACACAACGAUACCAUGACUCAGUCAGGUAAACUGCUGUGAGAGGAUGAAAAACCAACUGGAAAGCCAUUCUUCCCACGUGGCUGUGACACUUGGAGGGCCCUUGCUGUGCCACCGUGGAGGACCAUGGAGCUCCAUCAGUGCUGGUACAGGGAGGCUCUACACAGUGCUGUGACACGUGUGAUGGAGAUGCCCCAAUACCCUCACUGCUCUGUGGCCAGGAGCAUUUGAUGGAGUGCACAACAGGAUGAUUUCUCAUGCCCCACAAUUCCCAAUCACUUCCCACAAGACAAGCAAAUAAAUAAAUGGAAGUACACUGGUGGCUUCUUACCACCCAUCCCUCCAGAUACAAAUAAUGUGAGUAUCACAAGCAUGUCUAAUUCACAUGAAUAAUUUAUGCAAAACAAUAAGUUCCUCACACCAAUAAACAGAAUAAAUACAACUCCCAGAGACCACAUUAGAGUCGAGGAUUCAUUUUUACAAAGAUAUAAAACCGUUAUGAUCAAGAAAGGGGAGAAAUAAUCUCUAUCAAUAACACUUCCUUAUUCUUCAUUGUUUUAUUUGCACGCUGCUGCAUCCCUGUGUAGUGUACAAUCCAUCCAGCUGUCCUGGGGAUGCCUUCGAAGCUGUUCCAGCA